Molecule: transfer RNA, 75 nt
Filed under: Anaerolineae bacterium
Lineage: Bacteria; Bacillati; Chloroflexota; Anaerolineae
Description: tRNA-Pro
Source: RNAcentral
CGGGGCAUAGCCCAGUUUGGCUAGGGCGCUACAAUGGGGUUGUAGAGGUCGAGCGUUCAAAUCGCUCUGCCCCGA